This 364-nucleotide long non-coding RNA is filed under the name Piliocolobus tephrosceles (Ugandan red Colobus). RNAcentral's name for it is "lncRNA (ENSPTEG00000029062.1)". Lineage: Eukaryota; Metazoa; Chordata; Mammalia; Primates; Cercopithecidae. The record is from RNAcentral.
AGAGACUGCCUAGGAGAGGGAGGGUUGCUCCGAGGCCAUCUGUAGACCUUGUAAGAAAUUCCAGGACCUGGAAGAGAUGGGAUUUUGCCAUGUGGCCCAGGUGAUCCUCCAGUCUCAACCUCCUUCCCAAAGUGGUGAGAUUACACGCAUUAGCCACGGUGCCUGAACAGGUUAAACUGGUCCAACCAUAUUCCAUGGGUGAGGCAUUUAAUACCAUUUUAAAAUGAAUUAAUGGAAUGAUUGAUGGAUAUAAGAUGCGUGAGGCUGGAUUCUGAGAGAGCAGCAAUUUCAGGUUCUCGUUCUUGGAGGAAACGGCCCACCACCAAUCUCUUGGCCAAACACAGCACGUGAAUAGCCCUGCUGC